RNAcentral lists this long non-coding RNA (822 nucleotides) under Homo sapiens (human). Its description in RNAcentral is "non-protein coding lnc-UBAP1L-1:2". The record is from RNAcentral. Lineage: Eukaryota; Metazoa; Chordata; Mammalia; Primates; Hominidae.
CACGAACUCUGAAGUCAGAUGUGGGCUGAAACUACAGCCUUAGCACUAACCAGCCGUGUGACCUUUUGAACAUCACAUAGCCUCUCUGUGCCUCAGUGUCUUAUCCAUAAAAUACAGAUACUGAAACUUUCCAGUUGUGAUGAUUGAGCAGGAUAGUGUGCAGGAAGAUUGUGCCAUGGUAUCCAGUAGCCACUUAUUUAUACAUAUUUAUACCCUGCCUCAUUCCAUCAUCAUUACCUUUACUAUGAUCAUCCUCCUCAUCACUUUUAUGGUUAACAAACCUCCAGCAUUUAUCAUCAAACUCAGAAACCCUGGGAGAACCACUCGCUGCCUCUCAGGUCAGCAGGGUUAACGAAGGUAUCUGGCUGGAGCAGAGGAUUCUGGGAGUGCCACCUGGGAGAAGGACAAUCUUUACAGUUAAUACUAAGGAUCAGGUGGCUGCCUUGGUGCGUCCUUGAAACAGCAGCAGUUGACACACUCAAGCAUGGUCUGGACAAGAGGACCCUCAGAGAGGAGGUCAGGAGGAUGGCAGGGUCCAGGUUCCAGGAGCAAGCCAAGGCCUGGCCCAUUCAACCUUCCGCAGCUGAUGACAUUCUUCUGGCAUGGGAGCAGCGCCAGCUGAGGGGCUGCCAGCACCUCCUAUCAGCCCUGACCCUUCCACUCUGGGGGGAGGGAACACACUCUCAGGUCACUGUUGGCCUCCAAGGAUCAACUGAGGUAAGGAGCCACUUCCCUCUUCUGGGACCCUCCUGCCCUCUCAGCCCUUUCCUUCCACUCUCCAUCCCCCAUGCUGCCCAGGCUGCCUAGGCUGCCUCUAGCUGC